CAAUUACUCCCUCCGUUCCACAAUACAUGCCUUCCAUUUGUCAAAAUAUGGAUGUAUCUAGAUAUGUUUUAGUAUGUAGGUACAUCCAUUUUUGGACAAAUGGAAGUCAAGUAGUAGUAUUUUGGAACGGAGGGAGUAUUUU
Triticum aestivum (bread wheat) is the source of this 142-nucleotide non-coding RNA. Lineage: Eukaryota; Viridiplantae; Streptophyta; Magnoliopsida; Poales; Poaceae. The record is from Rfam.